UACGGGAGGCAGCAGUGGGGAAUAUUGCACAAUGGGCGAAAGCCUGAUGCAGCUAUGCCGCGUGUAUGAAGAAGGCCUUAGGGUUGUAAAGUACUUUCAUCGGGGAGGAAAAACAAAACUAAUAAUUUUAUUUCUUGACGUUACCCGAAAAAGAAGCACCGGCUAACUCCGUGCCAGCAGCCGCGGUAAUACGGAGGGUGCUAGCGUUAAUCAGAAUUACUGGGCGUAAAGAGCACGUAGGUGGUUUUUUUAAGUCAGAUGUGAAAUCCCUGGGCUUAACCUAGGAACUGCAUUUUGAAACUGAAAUACUAGAGUAUCGUAGAGGGAGGUAGAAUUCUAGGUGUAGCGGUGAAAUGCGUAGAUAUCUGGAGGAAUACCUGUGGCGAAAGCGGCCUCCUAAACGAAUACUGACACUGAGUGCGAAAGCGUGGGGAGCAAACGAGGGAUUAGAUACC
This 455-nucleotide ribosomal RNA is filed under the name uncultured bacterium. RNAcentral's name for it is "bacterial SSU rRNA". It matches the Rfam family "Bacterial small subunit ribosomal RNA", at positions 340 to 786 of the family's 1533-position model. The record is from RNAcentral.